AGGAUCAUUGUCGAAAGCUUGCACAGUGUUGGUGGACAUGCGAACUUGUCGAAACAUUUAUAGGGGGUGCACGCGGAGCUGCUUUGUCUCCCCCCCAUGGUCGAUGGGUAUGUGGUCAAGAGGCCAUGUGCACCUCGGUCUAACUCUCAAAUCGGCACUCGACGUGCCAAGGAAACUCAAUUUGAAAUGCUAUCCCCCGGCCCUCGUACGAUGCGUGCGUGGGAUUCGAAGAGGAGACGCGUGAAGAAGAAUGGUGUGAUAGAAUGACUCUCGGCAAUGGAUAUCUCGGCUCUCGUAUCGAUGAAGAACGCAGCGAAAUGCGAUACUUGGUGUGAAUUGCAGAAUCUCGUGAGCCAUUGAGUUUUUGAAUGCAAGUUGCGCCCGAAGCCAUUUUUUUGGUCGAGGGCACGCCUGCCUGGGUGUCGUGCAUGCAGUUUUCCUGGGACCUCCUCCACCGUGAGACCCAUUGCCUGGUUGAUUUUCAUUGGGGGUGAGGGAUCUCGGGUGUAUGUUGGCCUCCCGUCCCCCGUUGUGCGGUUGGUUUAAAUUUGGGGUCCUUGGUGGCAUGCAUCGUUGAUGAGUUGUCAUAAACAACGUUUGUCCUAUGUCGGCAAGUGAGCCCUCGCGGCCCCAUGGCUUCCUUGACACUUGUACGGAGUUGCCAUUUCGACCCC
RNAcentral lists this unclassified non-coding RNA (674 nucleotides) under Viscum katikianum. RNAcentral's name for it is "sequence contains ITS1, 5.8S rRNA gene, ITS2". The stretch from base 266 to 425 matches the Rfam family "5.8S ribosomal RNA". The record is from RNAcentral. Lineage: Eukaryota; Viridiplantae; Streptophyta; Magnoliopsida; Santalales; Viscaceae.